RNAcentral lists this ribosomal RNA (449 nucleotides) under uncultured bacterium. Its description in RNAcentral is "partial 16S ribosomal RNA". It matches the Rfam family "Bacterial small subunit ribosomal RNA", at positions 32 to 523 of the family's 1533-position model. The record is from RNAcentral.
AAUCAACGCUGGCGGCGUGCCUAACACAUGCAAGUCGAACGAAGGCUUCGGCCUUAGUGGCGCACGGGUGCGUAACGCGUGGGAAUCUGCCCUUGGGUUCGGGAUAACAGUGAGAAAUUACUGCUAAUACCGGAUGAUGACUUCGGUCCAAAGAUUUAUCGCCCAGGGAUGAGCCCGCGUAGGAUUAGCUAGUUGGUGGGGUAAAGGCCUACCAAGGCGACGAUCCUUAGCUGGUCUGAGAGGAUGAUCAGCCACACUGGGACUGAGACACGGCCCAGACUCCUACAGGAGGCAGCAGUGGGGAAUAUUGGACAAUGGGCGAAAGCCUGAUCCAGCAAUGCCGCGUGAGUGAUGAAGGCCUUAGGGUUGUAAAGCUCUUUUACCCGGGAAGAUAAUGACUGUACCGGGAGAAUAAGCUCCGGCUAACUCCGUGCCAGCCGCCGCGGUAA